GUAAACGGCGGCCGUAACUAUAACGGUCCUAAGGUAGCGAAAUUCCUUGUCGGGUAAGUUCCGACCUGCACGAAUGGCGUAAUGAUGGCCAGGCUGUCUCCACCCGAGACUCAGUGAAAUUGAACUCGCUGUGAAGAUGCAGUGUACCCGCGGCAAGACGGAAAGACCCCGUGAACCUUUACUAUAGCUUGACACUGAACAUUGAGCCUUGAUGUGUAGGAUAGGUGGGAGGCUUUGAAGUGUGGACGCCAGUCUGCAUGGAGCCGACCUUGAAAUACCACCCUUUAAUGUUUGAUGUUCUAACGUGGGCCCCUUACCGGGGUUGCGGACAGUGUCUGGUGGGUAGUUUGACUGGGGCGGUCUCCUCCUAAAGAGUAACGGAGGAGCACGAAGGUUGGCUAAUCCUGGUCGGACAUCAGGAGGUUAGUGCAAUGGCAUAAGCCAGCUUGACUGCGAGCGUGACGGCGCGAGCAGGUGCGAAAGCAGGUCAUAGUGAUCCGGUGGUUCUGAAUGGAAGGGCCAUCGCUCAACGGAUAAAAGGUACUCCGGGGAUAACAGGCUGAUACCGCCCAAGAGUUCAUAUCGACGGCGGUGUUUGGCACCUCGAUGUCGGCUCAUCACAUCCUGGGGCUGAAGUAGGUCCCAAGGGUAUGGCUGUUCGCCAUUUAAAGUGGUACGCGAGCUGGGUUUAGAACGUCGUGAGACAGUUCGGUCCCUAUCUGCCGUGGGCGCUGGAGAACUGAGGGGGGCUGCUCCUAGUACGAGAGGACCGGAGUGGACGCAUCACUGGUGUUCGGGUUGUCAUGCCAAUGGCACUGCCCGGUAGCUAAAUGCGGAAGAGAUAAGUGCUGAAAGCAUCUAAGCACGAAACUUGCCCCGAGAUGAGUUCUCCCUGACUCCUUGAGAGUCCUGAAGGAACGUUGAAGACGACGACGUUGAUAGGCCGGGUGUGUAAGCGCAGCGAUGCGUUGAGCUAACCGGUACUAAUGAACCGUGAGGCUUAACCUU
This 1008-nucleotide ribosomal RNA is filed under the name Escherichia coli. Its description in RNAcentral is "partial 23S ribosomal RNA". It matches the Rfam family "Bacterial large subunit ribosomal RNA", at positions 1923 to 2925 of the family's 2925-position model. RNAcentral also lists the same sequence under 1 other name. The record is from RNAcentral. Lineage: Bacteria; Pseudomonadati; Pseudomonadota; Gammaproteobacteria; Enterobacterales; Enterobacteriaceae.